AAAGUCGUAACAAGGUUUCCGUAGGUGAACCUGCGGAAGGAUCAUUACUUUCAGUACUUCUGAGGCUGUCAGUCUAUACUUGUAUAGCAAGCCUCUGUCUGAACCCUUGUCUUUUGCGUACCUAUGUUUCCUCGGUGGGCUUGCCCGCCGAUUGGACAAUACAAAAACCUUUUUAAUUUUCAAUCAGCGUCUGAAUACAUAUAAUAAUUACAACUUUCAACAACGGAUCUCUUGGUUCUG
RNAcentral lists this unclassified non-coding RNA (240 nucleotides) under Ascomycota sp. RNAcentral describes it as "partial contains small subunit ribosomal RNA, internal transcribed spacer 1, and 5.8S ribosomal RNA". The stretch from base 1 to 47 matches the Rfam family "Eukaryotic small subunit ribosomal RNA", at positions 1785 to 1831 of the family's 1831-position model. The record is from RNAcentral. Lineage: Eukaryota; Fungi; Ascomycota.